Mauremys mutica (yellowpond turtle) is the source of this 1615-nucleotide long non-coding RNA. RefSeq lists it as uncharacterized. The record is from RefSeq and is a predicted model, not a curated record. Lineage: Eukaryota; Metazoa; Chordata; Testudines; Geoemydidae. The transcript is spliced from 3 exons.
CAGAGAACAUUCAGUCACUCCAAGUGGAGAGAUGAAAGCUCCUUCUGGGAGUGCUGAUGGAGAGGGUUUAAGGCUAUGAAGCUGCAGGACUUUACAAGUGGCUGAGCUAGGAGUGGAAACACCAAGGUGCUCUCCUUUCACCACUCUUGCAUACCCCACAAGAGGAGGACUUGUUUCAGUUUGGUCAGAGAGACAAACAACCCUACUUAUGAAAGGGAACCACAGCACAGCCAGAAGGAAACUGAGGCAGCAGCCAUUCCCUGACCUAAAGAGGUCUUUUCACGAAAUAGUUUGACAAUGGCUUUGAAAAACACCUGCACAGAGAUCCCAGUGAGAAUGUGAUUGAUUCGGGGCAUCUUGUGAUGUGAUCAGCAAGCAGGAGGCAAAAAGUAUGGGACCAGCAUAGCAUGAUGGAAUGAGCACAAAUUCAGCUUUUCAGUGAGUUCUCCAAAGUAACCCUACAUCAUUUCCAUUAUGGAGGGCAGCAGAAUGUACUGGAUCAUUGAUGACUUAAGAAAACAGGUAGGGAAAUGGAGAUUGUACAUGUCCCAUGGAUGGGCAAAAUAAGAGAGUGCUUACAGUCGUUAAAGGAAUGAAGGAAAUGAGAUGGCUAGGGCAGGGAAUUUAUAUCUAUUGUAACAUAUGGAAGCUUUUGUCUAGUUGAGCAGAUACGAUGGGAAGAGAUGGAAGAAUCACAGUGUACAUUUCUGGCAGAGGCGUUAAAGGUAGAGUCCAUGGUCCAAAUCCUGGGCCCACUGAAGUCAAUGGGACCAUGAUUUCACACCAAGACUCUACUGAAAAGUUUGUGCUGAUGGCAGACUUGAAAGAGGAACAUAAUGUUAGGAUGAGUUUUAAAGAUUAUUUUGGAGUGCUAGGAAUAUUUGAAAUAACGAAUCACUGUACAACACAAGUUACAUCAAACCCCAAACUUCAAUUAAAAAGGAAGCAGUGGGGAAUCAUAUUAUAAUAUGUUGUUACAUUUAAUAUUAUGGUUCUAGAAAACCUUUUGUGCACAGAGUAAGAUUCAUGCUCCUAAACUAGCGACCAGUUAGUAUUAGGGGCAUAAAUGAAGAUGUAAAGAAGCUACUGGAUUUUUGCAAAAGCGAUUUCUGUGUAACAACAGGAACAAAGAAAGGAAGAUUUGAUCACAAGACACUUUUAAAAACAAGAGACCAGGAAACUAGGAUGAUCCCAUUCUAUUUGAGAGGAAAUAUUUUCUAUCAAUGUGCAGAAAAAUCAUACCAAAAAUUGCAAAAGGAAGUCAGAGCGGCAUUCCAAAUCAAUUUUUCAGCACCAAGAGGGGAAAGCGAACUAGAAGAGUUUGAGGAGUUGGGCAAGCAGAAAGCAACAGUAUUAGUUUCAAAGGAUCUCACUUUUUGACCAUCAGGGAGAGUGUAAACAAGCACAGAAAAGGAGGAUCUGAAGAUUGAAGAGUGGAUAAGAAAUAAUGGGAAGAUGAAAGUGGAGCCAGAAUGUUGAUUAAGAGCAAUCAAGAAAACCAAUAGUGUCAGAGAAUGCAUGGAGUAAAGGAUGGUAAAUAAGAGAAAAAAAUCACUUUGUUUUUGCUAAGCUAAGUGAUAGGAAUGGAAGGAAUCUCAUAUCUAAGGUAAUAUGU